RNAcentral lists this ribosomal RNA (215 nucleotides) under uncultured bacterium. RNAcentral describes it as "partial 16S ribosomal RNA". It matches the Rfam family "Bacterial small subunit ribosomal RNA", at positions 1285 to 1500 of the family's 1533-position model. The record is from RNAcentral.
UUCUCAGUUCAGAUUGCAGGCUGCAACCCGCCUGCAUGAAGUCGGAAUUGCUAGUAAUCGCGGAUCAGCAUGCCGCGGUGAAUACGUUCCCGGGCCUUGUACACACCGCCCGUCACACCAUGGGAGCCGGUAAUACCCGAAGUCAGUAGUCCAACCUCGUGAGGACGCUGCCGAAGGUAGGAUUGGCGACUGGGGUGAAGUCGUAACAAGGUACC